AUGCUACCACUUAAUUCAGGUCAUGGUACCACUUAAUUCAGGCCAUUGUACCUGCAACGUCCGGUCUUCAUGGGAAUGCGUACCGCCGUCGAAUCCUAUUGACCUGCACUCGAUCCCGACCCUCGAUUGGGGUCGAUGAACCCGGUACACGGGACACGGCGUCGACCCGCGUUCCCGGCUACUAUGGUCUUAACGCGAGGAGGUGCCGAGAUACACGAGGGGUUGGAGCAGGACUGCAAGAGGAAUUGAGGACAUGUUUUGUUUUAGAUCCACCUGAUUAGUCCCAAGUUUUUGCAAGGUCUGCUUCUUAUGCAAAGGUUUCUUUUGAUGGGCAGCCUAGCCAAUUAAUUAUGUUUGGAUCACUCUGGGCAAUUCUCUCUGGAGUUGAGAGUACUCUGAGCACUGCCCAUAGCGUGCCACGACGACCGUUUGCACUAUAGGAGCCUCGCGACACAGUCCUCAUAUGAGAAGUGGGGAUUCCACCAGCAUUCUCACAAAUAGGUACUA
Molecule: long non-coding RNA, 507 nt
Organism: Triticum dicoccoides
Lineage: Eukaryota; Viridiplantae; Streptophyta; Magnoliopsida; Poales; Poaceae
Exons: 3
Source: RefSeq, a predicted model, not a curated record